RNAcentral lists this ribosomal RNA (253 nucleotides) under uncultured bacterium. Its description in RNAcentral is "partial 16S ribosomal RNA". It matches the Rfam family "Bacterial small subunit ribosomal RNA", at positions 524 to 776 of the family's 1533-position model. The record is from RNAcentral.
UACGUAGGGUGCGAGCGUUGCCCGGAUUUAUUGGGCGUAAAGGGCUCGUAGGCGGUCUGUUGCGUCGGGAGUGAAAACUCAGGGCUUAACCCUGAGCCUGCUUCCGAUGCGGGCAGACUAGAGGUAUGCAGGGGAGAACGGAAUUCCUGGUGUAGCGGUGAAAUGCGCAGAUAUCAGGAGGAACACCGGUGGCGAAGGCGGUUCUCUGGGCAUUACCUGACGCUGAGGAGCGAAAGUGUGGGGAGCGAACAGG